CCCCUAACGUAUAGGUAUCUGCAUAUCGUGCGAGCGCAAAGCUACUUCGGUCUGGUGGCGAGUGGCGAACGGGUGAGUAAUGUAUCGGAACGUGCCCAGUAGCGGGGGAUAACUACGCGAAAGCGUAGCUAAUACCGCAUACGCCCUACGGGGGAAAGCAGGGGAUCGCAAGACCUUGCACUAUUGGAGCGGCCGAUAUCGGAUUAGCUAGUUGGUGGGGUAACGGCUCACCAAGGCGACGAUCCGUAGCUGGUUUGAGAGGACGACCAGCCACACUGGGACUGAGACACGGCCCAGACUCCUACGGGAGGCAGCAGUGGGGAAUUUUGGACAAUGGGGGAAACCCUGAUCCAGCCAUCCCGCGUGUGCGAUGAAGGCCUUCGGGUUGUAAAGCACUUUUGGCAGGAAAGAAACGUCAUGGGUUAAUACCCCGUGAAACUGACGGUACCUGCAGAAUAAGCACCGGCUAACUACGUGCCAGCAGCCGCGGUAAUACGUAGGGUGCAAGCGUUAAUC
Molecule: ribosomal RNA, 516 nt
Filed under: Achromobacter xylosoxidans
Lineage: Bacteria; Pseudomonadati; Pseudomonadota; Betaproteobacteria; Burkholderiales; Alcaligenaceae
Description: bacterial SSU rRNA
Rfam family: Bacterial small subunit ribosomal RNA
Source: RNAcentral